UGGGGGAUAUUGCACAAUGGGGGAAACCCUGAUGCAGCGACGCCGCGUGGAGGAAGAAGGUUUUCGGAUUGUAAACUCCUGUCGUUAGGGACGAAAAUGACGGUACCUAACAAGAAAGCACCGGCUAACUACGUGCCAGCAGCCGCGGUAAAACGUAGGGUGCAAGCGUUGUCCGGAAUUACUGGGUGUAAAGGGAGCGCAGGCGGACCGGCAAGUUGGAAGUGAAAUCUAUGGGCUCAACCCAUAAAUU
RNAcentral lists this ribosomal RNA (250 nucleotides) under uncultured bacterium. RNAcentral describes it as "partial 16S ribosomal RNA". It matches the Rfam family "Bacterial small subunit ribosomal RNA", at positions 355 to 622 of the family's 1533-position model. The record is from RNAcentral.